UCAAGAAUAUUCCUCAAUGGGCGAAAGCCUGAAGGAGCGACGCCGCGUGUAUGAUGAAGCCCCUCGGGGUGUAAAAUACUUUUAUCAGGGAAGAAUUAUGACGGUACCUGAUGAAUAAGGGGCUGCUAACUUCGUGCCAGCAGCAGCGGUAAUACGAAGGCCCCGAGCGUUAUCCGGAUUUAUUGGGUGUAAAGCGUGCGUAGGUGGUUUGGUGUAUCUUCUGUUAAAUUUCACGGCUCAACCGUGGACCUGCGGGAGACAUAGCCAGGCUAGAGACUGGAAGAGGCAAGCGGAAUUGCUGGUGUAGGGGUUAAAUCCGUUAAUAUCAGCAGGAACGCCAAAAGCGAAGGCAGCUUGCUAGGACAGUUCUGACACUAAAGCACGAAAGCGUGGGGAGCGAAUGGG
RNAcentral lists this ribosomal RNA (405 nucleotides) under uncultured bacterium. Its description in RNAcentral is "bacterial SSU rRNA". It matches the Rfam family "Bacterial small subunit ribosomal RNA", at positions 355 to 776 of the family's 1533-position model. The record is from RNAcentral.